CCCAGACAGCAUAUGACCGUUUUAUAGAGUCCCGGAUCUGAUCUCGGUCAUUUCCUAAUCUCGAGAAUAGGUGCGAUCAGUUUUCAAGUUCUACAGCAGCAACGUUACGACGGAUACUGACGUGACCCACUCUACCUAGUUGCUAUCCAGUAGGACUAUGACGCUGGCGUAGCAGCUAGGUCUGGCUGCAGCUAUUUGGCGGAGAACAAGUGACAGAGUAUCAUAUCUCGGCUCCUUAUAUGACUUCCUUUUGCCAAAUUGUUGGUUUUGUCUUGUCAACCUCUACUCUCGCAGACAACGAAGAAGACGGAUGACUCACGGGACAUAAUCUCGGUCACCUGAUCUCGAGUGAUUUUCUCUCUUCAGACGCAGAUCUGAGGCGUUCUUUUGGCUAAUGUUAUAGUCAUCACCGCUGGCUACUAUGCCUACGGGGUGAUGUUAGUGCUCAUCGUACUGUUGUUAUGGCAGAACGUGAAAUGUGAGAGACAAAUACUCGGACAUCCGGGAUCAUAUCUCGGUCAGUCGCUUUCAUCGCGUUUAUACAAGACGAAUUGAGACGGUAGUCAUGUCUGUUGAAAGGGUCGCUUUGGAUGUUUAUGCCACUGAAUAGCCGGUUUUGUCUCUUCAGUUUUUCUGUUGCAGGGCGGUGGGAAAGGUGAUCGACCUAUGGGACCUAAUCUCGGUCACACUUGUAUGAGCGCACUUCUUGGGUUCUACAGCUUUCAGAUUGAUCCUCAUGGAGAUAAACAUUGAAUCCAUUCUGGCACAAGUUGAAUGUCACAAGAGUAUGCCAGGACUCUGCAUACUUGUAAACUGUGUACGUACUACGAUCUUGUUGAUUGUAAGAUUUUAGCUACAUCAGUUAUUAUCAACAACAUGCACUGCUUAGCUAAUUAGCUAAUUUUAUACACAGAAGGUUCGUUGGAUAUUUUCACUGGACUAAUUAUCAUAACUUU
Long non-coding RNA from Corticium candelabrum, 956 nucleotides. RefSeq lists it as uncharacterized. NCBI's taxonomy places the organism in Eukaryota, Metazoa, Porifera, Homoscleromorpha, Homosclerophorida, Plakinidae. The record is from RefSeq and is a predicted model, not a curated record. The transcript has 3 exons.